This 76-nucleotide transfer RNA is filed under the name Elusimicrobia bacterium RIFOXYD2_FULL_34_15. Its description in RNAcentral is "tRNA-Gln". It matches the Rfam family "tRNA". Rfam says of the family: Transfer RNA (tRNA) molecules are approximately 80 nucleotides in length. Their secondary structure includes four short double-helical elements and three loops (D, anti-codon, and T loops). Further hydrogen bonds mediate the characteristic L-shaped molecular structure. tRNAs have two regions of fundamental functional importance: the anti-codon, which is responsible for specific mRNA codon recognition, and the 3' end, to which the tRNAs corresponding amino acid is attached (by aminoacyl-tRNA synthetases). tRNAs cope with the degeneracy of the genetic code in two manners: having more than one tRNA (with a specific anti-codon) for a particular amino acid; and 'wobble' base-pairing, i.e. permitting non-standard base-pairing at the 3rd anti-codon position. Lineage: Bacteria; Pseudomonadati; Elusimicrobiota. The record is from RNAcentral.
UGGGGAGUAGCCAAGCGGUAAGGCAACGGCCUUUGGAGCCGUCAUUACGAUGGUUCGAAUCCAUCCUCCCCAGCAA